AAACCAACAGGGAUUACCUCAGUAACGGCGAGUGAAGCGGUAACAGCUCAAAUUUGAAAUCUGGCUCUUUCAGGGUCCGAGUUGUAAUUUGUAGAAGAUGCUUUGGGUGUGGCCCUGGUCUAAGUUCCUUGGAACAGGACGUCAUAGAGGGUGAGAAUCCCGUAUGUGACUAGGUGCUUUCGCCCGUGUAAAGCUCUUUCGACGAGUCGAGUUGUUUGGGAAUGCAGCUCAAAAUGGGUGGUAAAUUUCAUCUAAAGCUAAAUAUUGGCCAGAGACCGAUAGCGCACAAGUAGAGUGAUCGAAAGAUGAAAAGCACUUUGGAAAGAGAGUUAAACAGUACGUGAAAUUGUUGAAAGGGAAGCGCUUGCAACCAGACUUAGUUGCGGCCGAUCAUCUAGGGUUCUCCCUGGUGCACUCGGUNGUAANUAGGCCAGCAUCGGUUUGGGUGGUGGGAUAAAGGCCUUGGGAAUGUAGCUUCUUUCGGGGAGUGUUAUAGCCCUCGGUGCAAUGCCGCCUACCUGGACCGAGGACCGCGCUUCCGCUAGGAUGCUGGCGUAAUGGUUGUAAGCCAC
RNAcentral lists this ribosomal RNA (572 nucleotides) under Lachnum sp. OTU8 TS-2013. RNAcentral's name for it is "eukaryotic LSU rRNA". It matches the Rfam family "Eukaryotic large subunit ribosomal RNA", at positions 62 to 648 of the family's 3401-position model. The record is from RNAcentral. Lineage: Eukaryota; Fungi; Ascomycota; Leotiomycetes; Helotiales; Lachnaceae.